AAUUUUGGAGAUCUUCAGGGAUCAAUUUUAUAGUCUGUGAUUAGAAAAGUUACUCUGAAUGUAUAGAGUGCCAGAAACCAUGAGGAAGAUUUACCAUAUUCUCUCCUGAACAUGAAACCAACUCUUGCCUUGCUGCACCCGCCAUUUGCCAUUGAUGAUUAUUCUUCUCUUUGGGAGAGUAAGAGGGAGAGGACACAGUCUCUGUGGU
Nycticebus coucang (slow loris) is the source of this 208-nucleotide small nucleolar RNA. RefSeq annotates it as small nucleolar RNA U3. The transcript has a single exon. NCBI's taxonomy places the organism in Eukaryota, Metazoa, Chordata, Mammalia, Primates, Lorisidae. The record is from RefSeq and is a predicted model, not a curated record.